This 253-nucleotide ribosomal RNA is filed under the name uncultured bacterium. RNAcentral describes it as "partial 16S ribosomal RNA". It matches the Rfam family "Bacterial small subunit ribosomal RNA", at positions 524 to 776 of the family's 1533-position model. The record is from RNAcentral.
GACGUAGGGCGCGAGCGUUGUCCGGAUUUAUUGGGCGUAAAGAGCUCGUAGGCGGCUUGUUGCGUCGGCCGUGAAAACCCGCGGCUUAACUGCGGGCUUGCGGUUGAUACGGGCGGGCUGGAGUUCGGUAGGGGAGACUGGAAUUCCUGGUGUAGCGGUGAAAUGCGCAGAUAUCAGGAGGAACACCGGUGGCGAAGGCGGUUCUCUGGGCCGAUACUGACGCUGAGGAGCGAAAGCGUGGGGAGCGAACAGG